UGUCUUUAUCUCCCCCCGCAAGACAAAUGACACUUUCCGAUUCUCCAUUCCUACUUCUCCAGCGCAAAAAUAAAGAGGUUUCCGAAUAAUUUCACCGUUAGUAAAAUCCCGAGCGUUCGCUAAACGGAGAAUAACGGUUCCAGGAAAGUUAAGAUCAAGGGAAAAGGAAAAGUUUUCUUGAUAGAUGAUGAAUCUGAGACGCAAAGGAGCUGAGAUAGCUCCAGGGGAGAAGAAACACAAUUGAAGAGAGCAUAUCAUUAUGAAGUGCCAAGCCUGGCUGUCCCUGGCAGAAAUGCAACAGAGACUAGGGAGUGAGAGAGACAGGCAAGCAAAAGCUGUAGCAGAUGGUCAGGAGAAGCCCACGGAAGACUCUGCUAGUGAUGGCUCCCUAUUCAGAUCCAAGGGCUGGCGCGGGAGGUAUCAGUGGAGAUAGGAGCACGCCAUCCUCAGCCUCACAGGUUGCUUCGGUUUGAAUUUCAACGAGGGGAGCCUGCCAAGAUCAGGCAGUAAAAUACGGACUGGAUCAUAAAUCCCAGCAGGGGUGGGAGAGCGUAAGACAGAUUGCUAACACCUUUAAAAAGAAAUUUUAAACAAAAAAGGUAGGAAUUUGCUUUAAAGUAUACCAGGCCCAGGAGGGACUGGGAGAGACAAGCCGUCUGAACGUGGGAGCUGGUUUGCCUCCCCAAUAGCACUUCUCUGAGGACUCCAACCCAUAGAAAGUUCUUCUGGCAGGCGAAGCAGGCCCCAUGGGCUCUUCAUCCAAAGCCAGCGAUGUUUCUCUGGGAUGUGUCUUGGAGAUAAGGCAGAAAUACUCUCAAAUGAGCACCUUCCAAAAAGUCGAGUCUUUCUGCAUCCUUCCCUCUGGAGUGACCGCUCAUGCCGCUCAUCAAAGUCUCCUUUCAUCAGCGCCAGGCCACGGGAAAUAAACGCAACUGGGAGCAAGGAGCUUGAAGCUGUAAGAAGAAAGCCAUGUGUUUCCUUCCUAAGACUAAAAUGAUUUCCCUACGAGGAAUAAAGAGCUUUUACAAACUUUCUGCAUGGAUACGUCUUGGAGGGGCGCACGCUGAUUUCUCUCACACCCGCACUGUGCACCAAGUGGAGAAACAGAAGCCCUUAUUUGCUUGGUUUUGUAACAGGUUCACUAUAUUUGAGCAUAGACAGAAAAGUAGACGGCCUUAUAACAGAGCUUAUUAUUACCCCGAUUUGGAUAAACCACAGGUCACAUCACGUCGGCUGAAACAUAACCG
RNAcentral lists this long non-coding RNA (1247 nucleotides) under Equus caballus (horse). RNAcentral describes it as "lncRNA (ENSECAG00000033739.3)". The record is from RNAcentral. Lineage: Eukaryota; Metazoa; Chordata; Mammalia; Perissodactyla; Equidae.